Molecule: long non-coding RNA, 228 nt
Filed under: Ananas comosus (pineapple)
Lineage: Eukaryota; Viridiplantae; Streptophyta; Magnoliopsida; Poales; Bromeliaceae
Description: long non-coding RNA (ACOM_LNC005613)
Source: RNAcentral
UAAAAUUUGCGCUAUGAAUUAAGAAUUAGCUACUUGAUUUCCAAAUGUUUUUUGAGAGAUAGGUAGUACGCUACCCGCUUCGUUUAUUUUAUUUAGAAAUAAACUUAGCUAGAAAUGUGAAUCAACCAGGAUGCAAAAUUGGGUCUCAGGUACCAACCACCAAGCCCUUUGCCACUUGCUCUAGAGACGGUCGGUUACUUGAUUUCCAAAUGUUAAUAGCAUAAUGUU